RNAcentral lists this long non-coding RNA (5194 nucleotides) under Marmota monax (woodchuck). The stretch from base 879 to 1037 matches the Rfam family "Nuclear enriched abundant transcript 1 conserved region 3". The record is from RNAcentral. Lineage: Eukaryota; Metazoa; Chordata; Mammalia; Rodentia; Sciuridae.
GCGCGAAGGCCCACAGCACCCCGCGAGGCCGCAGCAGCUCUCGGGCCUCACUGUCCCUUCUGCUACUGCUGCUGGAGCGGGGAUUUGACUUCCAGGAGGCCGAGGUCCUUCCAUGGGCCUAGCUGGCCCUGGUGGCCUGGUUAACGUGGAGGAGGAAGGCAGGCUGAGGCGGGAAGAGGUGGAGACUGGCCUAGGCAGUGGUCGUUGGCAGGCAGGGUCGCAGGCCCGCAGCUGGGCGGGGAGGGCCGACUUGAAACUUGUCAAUACCAGCAGCCCCCUUUUUUUCCAGACAAAGGGUUGUGAACCUGCCUGGGGAUGAAGCCUGGUCUUAAGGAAACUGGACUUGGCUUCGCGGGCCGGGCCUGACAGCUCUGGCCCAGGGUGGUAUGUAAACAGGGCUCACCCCGGAGCCCAGGAGGUGAAGGGUGGCCUGAGGAGUGAUCACGAUCCAGUGUGCCAUUGCCACCUGUUAACUGGGGGCUGCUGAGGCAGGCUGCUUGUGUCUGGGGAAAAUAUUGACCAACCCUUUAUUUUCCAGGUGGCAGUACCCUCCCCUCUGGACUUCCCUAGGUUCGAUGCUAAACUCUUCUGUGAGCUCACUCUACCCCUCCUCCUCCCUCUAACUCUCUUGAGGUUAUCCCUUCACUUAAAACCUUGCCUCUGGUCAUCUGGUAAGCCUGGUGAAGUCGCAGGAGUGUUCUUGGACUCGGUAUUGUUGGUAAUGGUGCAGAAGGAAAGGCCUUCCCGGUGGAGCCUCUGGGGGGUGGGUUGGUGUUGCUUUUGGAGAGGGUGGGGAUUGAAUGUGCUCCCCUGGGUGGGGCUGCAGCAGUGGUUCCAGCAGAAGUCACCCAAUGCCUCAUGGACCUGGUUUGUUACUGUAGUGUUCAUCAUGGCGAGCAGAUGGCACCAGGACAAAUGGAGCCCCAGCCAGUGUGAGUCGUAGCAGUGCAGGAGGGGAGACCCUGAAGGAGACAGCCCGCUUAAGUUGAUGCCUGCAGAUUGAAUUCCAGAGGCUUAGGAGGAGGAGCAGUUCUCCAGUGUCUUGUGUCCAGGCCUUGCUCAGGAUCCCUGUAUUCAGGAGGCCAACCGUUAAGGUUUUCAGAUGAGCUUGUGGGGGGCAGUUCACAAGUCCAAAGCAGAUGCAUCGGCUUGAGGGGCCAUCACCUUUGAAUGUUUCAGCAGCACCAUCCUCCAGGCACAGGAAUGCCAGCAGGCACCCCUCUUGUCCUGGGGGUGGUUUUCAGAUGCUGCAUCUUCUAAAUUGAGCCUCUGGUCCUUCUAGUUCUGUGCUGUGAACUUUGCUUCCAGAAGAUUCUUAAGUUAUAGAACAUUUUAAAGUUGAUCCAACAACCAGCCUGAUGCCUUUUAGAUGGCACUUGGAGAUGGAGCCCAGGGACCUCUCACCUACCCACCUGCUUACCUGCCUUCCUGUCUGCACAUUGGCCGGAGGAAUUCUUAGUGUGAUGAUAAAGCUUUUGAUUGUUGGGGGGCGGGGCAGGGAGCUGUUCAAUUUUAAAUGCUUUAGGCAGAGGGAAUUUGUUAGCUAGGUAGAUUGUCAAUCUGUGGGGGCUCAUGUGUUGAGCUAAAGUGGGAGGGGACAAGCCGGUCAUGCCCAGGAGCUGUGUGUUGGUAGGGGGUCUUGUCUGGGCAUUCUAAUGGCAUAGAACCUUACAAGAAGGGAAUGGUGGGCCCACCAGUAGUGGGUGGGUCAUGGGUGUUUUGUUUUCUGGUGCUGCAGAUUGAACAGGGCCUUGGGCAUUUUAGGCAAAUGCUCAGCCAUUGAGCUACAAUCCCAGCCCAGUUAUUUGCCAGUUAUUUGAUUCUCCCCCACACUUUUUUUUAUACAUCUCAGAGUAUUCUUGUCAUUCCCUCUGGGGGAGGGACGGGGGGGGGGGCAAGGGCUGGUGGGGAUGCAGUGCUGGGAGCAUGAGGGUGUGGGAUGUGGGUUGAGAGAAAGUAUGGGCAGAGAUCUGAGGAAUUUCAUAGAAUUUGUGAGUGAAGAAAACACUAGUUAAUGGUAAAUUAUUGGUUAAAUGGUUGCAUAUAAGCAGUGAAAGUUGCUUGGAAAUUUUUAUAAAAGUGCUUAGAACUUCAAGGAAAGUUCAAGAAAAAAAGCAAAAUUGUUUUGCUUUGCUCUAAAGUGGGGAAGACUGAGAAGGUAUAACUGAAAACAAGAAUAUUUAGUUACUUGAAAAAUGACAUGGAACUUGGUGUCAAAACUGAGUUUUAAACUCAAGUAUGCACUUACGAUGAGAUUAAUAUGGACUUUUCUGGGUUUGUAAUUCAUAUUUUGUCAUGGAGAUCUCAGUGAUUCAAAAUUCUGAACAAAAUGGAAAUGCUUUUGGAGAGGGUGGGGAUUGAAUGUGCUCCCCUGGGUGGGGCUGCAGCAGUGGUUCCAGAAGAAGUCACCCAAUGCCUCAUUGAUGUGAAUUGUUACUGUAGUGAGACAAAUGGAAAUGCUUUUGGAGAGGGUGGAGAUUAAAUGAUUUUUAAAGGAAUUUCAUAAGAAGUGCCUUAUAGAUUUUUCUGUGUUUGGUCAAAACCAUAAUAGCAAAAGUUUUGCUUACUUAACUAUAGUCUUGAAAUCAGUCAUUGUAACAAGGAAAACCUUUUGUGGUCACAGUGAAAUUACUAUGUUUGUUAGCAAUCAGAAUUAUUAAUGAAUAAUCUAUUGUAUUUUUAGUUUAAAUGAUCCAGGACUGGGGGGGGGGAAUGUCAGUCAAAACCAGUUUAGGAAAUAAAAGCAAACUGGGCAGAAGGGGCCAGCUUAAGAGGCAGGCUGUAAGAGCUCCUGUGAAACUCGAUUUGCUUCUGAGCUGAUUUUGUUGAAAUGAUAGAGUAACUCCAGUGGGCUUCAUCCUGUUUUUCCUCCAAAUUUGAACACUUUAAAUACCCAAUACCUUUUAUCCUUAGGACUUUUCCUGUGUUCUGGGUUCCUUUUUUUUUAUGCUUAAAAAUGCAUUGGUAUGGUACUUCAGUUCUUAGCUGGUGACUUGGGUGUGAUACAAUUACUGUCAUUGGAACUUAAAGUAUAUUAGUCAUGCUUGUGUGGGGAAAUAUUUCUGGGUAUGCUGUUGUGUAAUGAAAGCUGUAAAAACAGGUGGUUAAAGUACUUGUUUGUAAGGCACGCACUGUUCUGUUCUGUUCUGUGUGUGGUUUCUAACCAUUUUUCUUCCCCUUUACAGCACAAAUAAAGGUUUGAGUUCCAAACUCCUUAGAAUGGUCUUAUUGCUGUUAUGUUGCCCGACUGUCCUGUCACCUCUGAAGGUGGAUGUGUCCCUGUCCUCAGAUUGUAGACUGAGGCCUAGAUUCAUGUUCACUAGUUAGCUCCAAAUGUAAUCUUCACUGAAAGGGAACUGGUACGUCCUGAGUACAAACUGGUGCCUCAGGAGGAGGGUUGUGCACUGUUGAGAGCUAGUAAUGUUUGUGCAAAUGUAAUCCUGAACCACAUGAAGAUGAGUGUCUAGGUGGGAGAGUACGUACUUUAUAAUCUAGAACAUUCUCUGGUCAUAUUUUCAAAUGGCAUCUAUUUUGUUGGGGGAAAACAUUCUAAAUAAGAAUAAAAUUGACAUGUAAUAUGUUUAUUUAGUUUGCAUUCUUUGGGAGGCUGGCAUGUAUCUGUUUAAGCACAUAAUUCUCAUGUUCUCUUUUGGUACAUGACUAAAAAGUUUGGGCUUAUGUAAGUGCUCUAUUGAGCCAGCAAGGUUUUCUGAUGGGUGGGGAGGAAUCUUGAGUGUGUGUCAUGUAAACUGAUCUGCAUCCUGGGUGGGGAAGUGGCAGCAGUGACUCAUCCUGACACUUGUAUUUUUAUGUGCUCUCCUGUGUACCAGCUUAGAAGAGUUGGAAUAGAACACCACUGGCCUUCCCUGAGGGAAGUGUCCAAGGGAGGGAGAGGAAAGCUGGGCGUGCUUGCUAGGGAGGGAGAGGACCGAUGGACUGGGACCAGAGCACAGGGAGUUGAGCUACAGGUCAGCCACUGUCUACCUAGUUCUGAGGGUCUCUUGGUGACCCCUCCCUUGAGCACUACUGAGAACCCCCAGAAGAGAAAGGUCAUGUGCCACUAGAAGGCCCUCCGUCUGGUCUCUUGGCACUGCCAGUGGGGGCCACUGCUGUGAGCAAUAGUGGUGUCUACAAAUAGCAAAGUUGAACUUGAAGUUCUUUUAUAAAUGAAAGUAGCCUGAGGGCAGGUAUGGACUGAGAGUCCUGGGCGCCCAGGCUGGAGCCCCCGAGAAGUGGCCUGUUACAAAAAGGGGUGAGACAGUCACUGCCCCCAACACCACCCUGUUGGCCACCCUCUGUUGGUCUUACUGAUCCUGAGAGACUGCAAGGACCUCUAAUGCCAGGUGAGGAGGAAGGCUAGCCUCUGGCCCAUUGGUGCCCAAUGUGGUGUUGGGUUGUGUCGAAGGAGGAGACGCUAAAACAGGUGCACAGACAUUUGUGGAGUGUUUGUUUUGUUUUGUUUUUGAGAGGCUAUGUUUUUUUAUUUGUUCUUUUUAGGUAUACAUGAUAGUAGAAUGUAUUUUGACAUCAUACAUGGAGUAUAACUCCCUGUUGUGGUUGUACAUGAUGUGAAGUUUCACUGGUUGUGCAUUCAUAGAUAAACAUAGGAAAGUUAUAUCCCAUUGAUUCUACUGUCUUAUUGUGGAGUGUUUUAAAUACAGUACAUACACGGGUGCAGAAUGGCAAGGGGAAGCAAAGGGUGUCCUCGCCCUGCCUGCUGGGGCCUCUGACCUUGACCUGCACCUUCCCCGUUCCUGACUGCUCACUGUUCUCACAUCUAAAGGGUUUACCAUAAAGUUUGCAAAAAACAAAUUGAAAAUCUUCAGUAAUCUUCAGUUAACAAGUGUUACUGGUGUAUUUGCAUCUGGGUUUUUGUUUAUCUUUUUAUUUUGUCCUUAUGCAUCAGAUAUCUGUGUUUUAUUCAAAAAUGAGAUUAUAUUUAAAUUCUGUUUGACUCUUUCCUUUAUAUGUAGUGGACAUCGAGUCAUUUGAAGCAUCGUUUUCAUUGUUGACAAUGUUCUGGUUCUUGCAAGGCUGUAUUAACUUAAACAAUCUCAUUUAGAUGAGCAGGUUAUGUCCCAGGGUUUUGUUUUAUUCCACUCAGGAAAUAAAAGUUUUGAUGAUGUUCCAUGUAAAUAAAACUUUAUCACAUCUGUUGUUACUUAUCCAAGAUGAAUAUAUAUCUAGAAGGGAA